UACGGAGGAUGCGAGCGUUAUCCGGAUUUAUUGGGUUUAAAGGGUGCGCAGGCGGUCCUGCAAGUCUGGAGUGAAACGUAUGAGCUCAACUCAUGCAUGGCUCUGGAAACUGGAGGACUGGAGAGCAGGAGAGGGCGGUGGAACUCCAUGUGUAGCGGUAAAAUGCGUAGAUAUAUGGAAGAACACCGAUGGCGAAGGCAGAUCUCUGGGCCGCAACCGACGCUGAGGCGCGAAAGCUAGGGGAGCGAACAGG
Molecule: ribosomal RNA, 253 nt
Filed under: uncultured Allobaculum sp.
Lineage: Bacteria; Bacillati; Bacillota; Erysipelotrichia; Erysipelotrichales; Erysipelotrichaceae
Description: partial 16S ribosomal RNA
Rfam family: Bacterial small subunit ribosomal RNA
Source: RNAcentral